UACGUAGGGUGCGAGCGUUGUCCGGAAUUAUUGGGCGUAAAGAGCUCGUAGGCGGUGUGUCGCGUCGGUCGUGAAAACCUGGGGCUCAACUCUGGGCGUGCGGUCGAUACGGGCAUCACUAGAGUUCGGCAGGGGAGACUGGAAUUCCUGGUGUAGCGGUGAAAUGCGCAGAUAUCAGGAGGAACACCGGUGGCGAAGGCGGGUCUCUGGGCCGAUACUGACGCUGAGGAGCGAAAGCAUGGGUAGCGAACAGG
This 254-nucleotide ribosomal RNA is filed under the name uncultured bacterium. RNAcentral describes it as "partial 16S ribosomal RNA". It matches the Rfam family "Bacterial small subunit ribosomal RNA", at positions 524 to 776 of the family's 1533-position model. The record is from RNAcentral.